RNAcentral lists this ribosomal RNA (292 nucleotides) under uncultured bacterium. RNAcentral's name for it is "partial 16S ribosomal RNA". The record is from RNAcentral.
GGACUACCAGGGUAUCUAAUCCCGUUCGCUCCCCUAGCUUUCGCACAUGAGCGUCAGUGACUUCCCAGAACGCUGCCUUCGCCUUCGGUGUUCUUCCAGAUCUCUACGCAUUUCACCGCUCCACCUGGAAUUCCGCGUCCCUCUGAAGCCCUCAAGUCUUCCAGUUUUCCGAGUCCUGUCAGAGUUAAGCCCUGACCUGUCACUCGAAACUUAAAAGACCGCCUGCGUGCGCUUUACGCCCAAUAAAUCCGGACAACGCUUGCCCCCUACGUAUUACCGCGGCUGCUGGCAC